Molecule: ribosomal RNA, 280 nt
Filed under: Fusicatenibacter saccharivorans
Lineage: Bacteria; Bacillati; Bacillota; Clostridia; Lachnospirales; Lachnospiraceae
Description: partial 16S ribosomal RNA
Rfam family: Bacterial small subunit ribosomal RNA
Source: RNAcentral
UACGUAGGGGGCAAGCGUUAUCCGGAUUUACUGGGUGUAAAGGGAGCGUAGACGGCAAGGCAAGUCUGAUGUGAAAACCCAGGGCUUAACCCUGGGACUGCAUUGGAAACUGUCUGGCUCGAGUGCCGGAGAGGUAAGCGGAAUUCCUAGUGUAGCGGUGAAAUGCGUAGAUAUUAGGAAGAACACCAGUGGCGAAGGCGGCUUACUGGACGGUAACUGACGUUGAGGCUCGAAAGCGUGGGGAGCAAACAGGAUUAGAUACCCCGGUAGUUGACUGACU